Non-coding RNA from Pelobates cultripes (western spadefoot toad), 290 nucleotides. NCBI's taxonomy places the organism in Eukaryota, Metazoa, Chordata, Amphibia, Anura, Pelobatidae. The record is from the annotation of a GenBank genome assembly.
AACAGUGAUUUGAUAUGGUUAUGGUGUCUGGAGUGCGCAGCAUUUCACGAUUAAGACGCUGCAAAUACAUUGUUUAUCUCCUUUGCUGCCGAAUGCGUAACUCCACCUACGGCAGCAACAUUGGGUUGUCCCUAGGCAGAUCUGGAACACGGGUUUGCAGGGAUUCAUUCAUUGGCUGAGAGCAAUUCGCUGACAUUCUCAGCCAAUGAUUGGGCGGUAGGACUGCCCUCUGGUUUCUGCUUUGCUUUCACAGGACCCAGGUAAUUGGCAAAGUGUUGGGAAAGGUGUCA